GACACCUUCUUACUACUCUUCACCUUAUUGUGACCAUUCCAUGUAGUCGUCUUGUUUUUUUUCUCCCGGUCAUCAGCCAUCAUAUUCUUGUUGCUGCUGGCUCUCCCUUCCUUUUGCUUUCCCAUCUCCAAGAUGGCAGCAGUGGAUGUCUUCCCGUUCGUCACCCCCACUGACACCACCCCUCAUUUUGUUUCCCUCCUCAUCGUCAUCACCACCCCGUUUGGCAGGUCUUCCCGACCGGCUUCACCACGGGCUUCUGGUGAAGCCCUGCCAAAGGGGUGACGAAGAAACGGCUUCACCACGGGAGC
Molecule: long non-coding RNA, 308 nt
Filed under: Setaria italica (foxtail millet)
Lineage: Eukaryota; Viridiplantae; Streptophyta; Magnoliopsida; Poales; Poaceae
Description: long non-coding RNA (SITA_LNC000538)
Source: RNAcentral